Molecule: ribosomal RNA, 380 nt
Filed under: uncultured eukaryote
Lineage: Eukaryota
Description: partial 18S ribosomal RNA
Rfam family: Eukaryotic small subunit ribosomal RNA
Source: RNAcentral
CAAUAGCGUAUAUUAAAGUUGUUGCAGUUAAAAAGCUCGUAGUUGGAUCUGUGGUGUGCGGUGGGCUCCGGGCACUUGUUGUCUGAGUAGCUCGCCGCUGCCAUCCUUGGGUGGAACCUGUGCGGCAUUAGGUUGUCGUGCAGGGGAUGCCCAUCGUUUACUGUGAAAAAAUUAGAGUGUUCAAAGCAGGCUUAUGCCGUUGAAUAUAUUAGCAUGGAAUAAUGAGAUAGGACUUUUUCGCUAUUUUGUUGGUUUGCGCGAAGAGGUAAUGAUUAAUAGGGACAGUUGGGGGUAUUCGUAUUCCAUUGUCAGAGGUGAAAUUCUUGGAUUUUUGGAAGACGAGCUACUGCGAAAGCAUUUACCAAGGAUGUUUUCAUUAA